UAAGGAAUAUUGGUCAAUGGACGCAAGUCUGAACCAGCCAUGCCGCGUGAAGGAUGAAGGUCCUCUGGAUUGUAAACUUCUUUUAUCUGGGACGAAAACGGGAUUUUUAUCUCAAUUGACGGUACCAGAGGAAUAAGCACCGGCUAACUCCGUGCCCGCAGCCGCGGUAAUACGGAGGGGCCGAGCGUUAUCCGGAUUUACUGAGUUUAAAGGGUGCGUAGGUGGGCUUAUAAGUCAGUGGUGAAAUCUCCGAGCUUAACUUGGAAACUGCCGUUGAUACUAUAGGUCUUGAAUUAUCUGGAGGUAAGCGGAAUAUGUCAUGUAGCGGUGAAAUGCUUAGAGAUGACAUAGAACACCAAUUGCGAAGGCAGCUUACUACAUAUAAAUUGCCGCUGAGGCACGAAAGCGUGGGGAUCAAACA
RNAcentral lists this ribosomal RNA (421 nucleotides) under uncultured bacterium. RNAcentral describes it as "bacterial SSU rRNA". It matches the Rfam family "Bacterial small subunit ribosomal RNA", at positions 355 to 774 of the family's 1533-position model. The record is from RNAcentral.